UGAACGCUGGCGGCAGGCCUAACACAUGCAAGUCGAGCGGAUGAAGGGAGCUUGCUCCUGGAUUCAGCGGCGGACGGGUGAGUAAUGCCUAGGAAUCUGCCUGGUAGUGGGGGAUAACGUCCGGAAACGGGCGCUAAUACCGCAUACGUCCUGAGGGAGAAAGUGGGGGAUCUUCGGACCUCACGCUAUCAGAUGAGCCUAGGUCGGAUUAGCUAGUUGGUGGGGUAAAGGCCUACCAAGGCGACGAUCCGUAACUGGUCUGAGAGGAUGAUCAGUCACACUGGAACUGAGACACGGUCCAGACUCCUACGGGAGGCAGCAGUGGGGAAUAUUGGACAAUGGGCGAAAGCCUGAUCCAGCCAUGCCGCGUGUGUGAAGAAGGUCUUCGGAUUGUAAAGCACUUUAAGUUGGGAGGAAGGGCAGUAAGUCAAUACCUUGCUGUUUUGACGUUACCAACAGAAUAAGCACCGGCUAACUUCGUG
Molecule: ribosomal RNA, 482 nt
Filed under: uncultured bacterium
Lineage: Bacteria
Description: partial 16S ribosomal RNA
Rfam family: Bacterial small subunit ribosomal RNA
Source: RNAcentral